GCCUUGUUAGCUCAAUGGUAGAGCAAUUGACUCUUAAUCAAGAGGUUGGAGGUUCGAAUCCUCUACAAGGCACCA
RNAcentral lists this transfer RNA (75 nucleotides) under endosymbiont DhMRE of Dentiscutata heterogama. RNAcentral describes it as "tRNA-Lys". It matches the Rfam family "tRNA". Rfam says of the family: Transfer RNA (tRNA) molecules are approximately 80 nucleotides in length. Their secondary structure includes four short double-helical elements and three loops (D, anti-codon, and T loops). Lineage: Bacteria; Bacillati; Mycoplasmatota; Mollicutes; Mycoplasmatales. The record is from RNAcentral.